UCAGAUGACAUAUACUCCAGGCAUCCCUAUCUGCUCAGCCUAAUCAGAUUAACACUGAAUGCCAUCUAUGUAUACACUGGCCUCCUGGCCAGGAUUUAGAGCGCUGACACGCUGCCAGCCGCCACGCGGAGGAGACGGGGCAUCGUCUGAAAGGCGCGAGUCCACGAAGUCUGUGGGAUGCGGGUGCUCGGUACCGCACGGGACCUCGAUGGGGACACAGCAGCAGAGAUUGUAUUGGAAGCGGCAAACGGAUGAAUGCAAACAUUAGCCGCCAUCACGGAAGCCAUUGGGUGGAUGAUUUCUAUCAGCGAGAGCCAGACUGGUGACAGUUGGCCUCCGCAACCAAGUGUUCAAUUUGAGAGGACGAUGCACCAAAUCAAUCUUCGCCACCGGGAUGUGGUUUUUCCCGUCGUCGCGUCCGUGAUUGGUGUGGGUCCCCUCAAACCGGAGUGGAAACAGAUCCUAUCAACGCAGGGACAAAGACAAACUGACAGGUGUUAAAUUAACUGAAAAAUCACACAAUCACAGAGUCAUAACGACUCCAGUCGUCCCAUGAAGAAACGGGAACAAGCACGAGGGCCC
Molecule: long non-coding RNA, 582 nt
Filed under: Betta splendens (Siamese fighting fish)
Lineage: Eukaryota; Metazoa; Chordata; Actinopteri; Anabantiformes; Osphronemidae
Description: lncRNA (ENSBSLG00000008552.1)
Source: RNAcentral